AAUAAGCGCAGUUUGCACUAUUCAUAUUCAGUGUUAACCGUUCGUCUUAUUUGAAAAUUUUUUAUGAUUAGUAUUUUUAUUGCUAUUAGAUGAUAAAACAUGAAUAGUACUUUAUGUGUGACUAAAUGUUUUUAAUUUUUUCACAAAUUCUUCAAAUAAGACGGACGGUCAAACGUUGAACGUGAAUAGUGCAAAACUGCACUUAUU
Oryza sativa Indica Group (long-grained rice) is the source of this 207-nucleotide microRNA precursor. It matches the Rfam family "MIR812 microRNA precursor family". NCBI's taxonomy places the organism in Eukaryota, Viridiplantae, Streptophyta, Magnoliopsida, Poales, Poaceae. The record is from Rfam.